This 2055-nucleotide long non-coding RNA is filed under the name Homo sapiens (human). RNAcentral describes it as "PREDICTED lncRNA (TCONS_00257691)". The record is from RNAcentral. Lineage: Eukaryota; Metazoa; Chordata; Mammalia; Primates; Hominidae.
AUAGUAGGUGCUCAAUAUGUGCUUGUUGAAUAAAUGUGUCAAUGUUUGAUGUACAGACCUUUUAUUAUGUUUGAUUUGCUGCCAGUGCUGCCUCCAAACACAGGAGUGCUUCAUGAGAUGUUCACAAAAGCUCUUAAAAUAUUCCACAAAAAUCUUAAAAUAUUUCAUGAGUUUUCUUUCCUGUAUUUUUAUAGCAGCAUCUGGAAUUUAGCCUGCAUAGGACCCUCUGUAAGCUGACCCUGUUUAUCUAUUCAGCUUUACUUCUCCCCUCUCUCCACUUUGUAUUUUAUUCUCUACUACUUCCAACUGAUUGUAAUUUGACCAGACUCCAGACUAUCUUAUGCCUCUUUGCUUUUGUUUACCUGUUACUUCUCUCUGGAAUUCCCUGCCCCUUCUUAAUUUUUCUGGCCAAUUCUCACUCUCUAGGACUCAGAGGUUUCUCCUCAGGAGACUUCCAUGAGUCUCAUGUUGAGUUAGGUGACCCCAAUCCUCUGUUCUUCAUAGUCAUUCGCGCAUUUAUCUAGCUCAGCAUUUGCCAUACUACAUUGAAAUUAUUUCCUUAUGUGCCCAUCACUCCCCGUAGAUUGCAAACUCCUAGAGAAGGGCUCAACAGUGAGUGCUGAGGCUGCACAGAGGAGGAAGGCAGCACAAUGAUGGAAGGCUUCCUAAAGAGGUCAUCUCCUGAAUCAAUUAAAAAAAAAACCAACAGUGACAACAAAACUAAAAAAUAUGAAGAAGCUGAAACAUGAAAGCUCUGCCAACUGCAAUAUGUAGCUGCUAAGGUUGCUGUAUUUAUUGGAAUCAAGCAAGUGUUCCAGUAAAGAGCACAGAAGAUGUGUCUGGGAGCCUUUAUGUAUAACACUAACAAAGUUGACCUUAGAAUUGGAGUGCCUGGGUUAGAACCCUGCUGGUACCACCUGCUUACUGCAUGCUUCUGAUGUGAGUUCAGGAGAAGACACUGGCAAGGACAGCAAAGAACAGGAGAACACUCUAGCUUCCCUGAUAGCAUUCAAGGUGCUGUCCAAAGCUCUUGAGUUUCUGCUUUCAAGUGACCCUCAGAAAUUCCUCCAUUCACUGCAGAGGUUCUGUUUCUCCUUGCUUUGUUCUGACUUUACGGCAGAACUAAGCUAAUGAGUUAGUUACUAUGGGUUAUCACUUGGAUUUGAAGAACCAUCAUUUCUAGGCAUUGCUGCUCAGAGUGGGUCUGCCCUCAGGGGAAGCUGUCUAACCAGAGCCUAACCCACUAGGGUUUUAUCAGAACCUAACUGACCUGAGGAAAAGAAAUACUCAACUCCAGCAAGCUCCAGCCUUCCAAAUGGAGGAGGAGAAAACCCAACUCCAGCCCACUUCAGCUAUCUUGUCCCACAUAAAGGGGAAGUGGAAGAAACCUGAGAAGCAGGCAUGAAGUUCACAGUCCAGAGGUAUACAAGCCACGCUGAACAUCUGAAAAUCAAUUCAUGUGAUCCAUCACAUUAGCAGACUCAAGAAAAAAAACCACAUUAUCAUAUCAGUAGAUGUAGAAAAAAAAAAUUAACAAAAUCCAGCACCCAUUCACAAUGAAAAUGCCCAGUAAAUUAGAAAUAGAAGGUAACUUCCUCAAAUUGAUAAGGAAUAUCUCUAAAAACCUACAACUAAAAUCAUACUUAAUGGUAGAAAACUAGAAGCCUUCCCAGUAAGAGUAAGAACAAGUCAAAGAUGUAUGCUCUCACCAAUGCUUUUCAACAUCAUAUUGGAAGUCCUAGCUAGUGCAAUAAGCAAAAAAAAAAAAAAAGUUAUAUUAAUAAGAACAAAAACUGUGUUUGUUUGCAGAUGACAUGAUUUUCUAUGCAAAAAAUUCAAAAUAAUCAACAACAAAAAAAUCCUGAAACUAAUAAAUGAUUAUAGCAAGAUUUCAGGAUAUGAGAUUUAUAUACAAAGGUCAAUUACUUUCAUAUAUACAAGCAAUGAACAAGAGGGAUUUGAAAUUAAAAACGAAACUAUUUACAUUAGUACCCCCAAAAUGAAAUCCUUAUGUAUAAACUUAACAAAAUAUGUACAAGAUACAUAUGAGAAAAA